RNAcentral lists this ribosomal RNA (274 nucleotides) under uncultured bacterium. RNAcentral's name for it is "partial 16S ribosomal RNA". It matches the Rfam family "Bacterial small subunit ribosomal RNA", at positions 523 to 796 of the family's 1533-position model. The record is from RNAcentral.
AUACGGAGGGAGCAAGCGUUAUUCGGAAUCACUGGGCGUAAAGGACGCGUAGGCGGGUUUGUAAGUCAGGUGUGAAAUCCUACAGCUCAACUGUAGAACUGCACUUGAAACUACAGACCUAGAGUAUGGAAGGGGCAGAUGGAAUUAGUGGUGUAGGGGUAAAAUCCGUAGAUAUCACUAGGAAUACCGAAAGCGAAGGCGAUCUGCUGGGACAUUACUGACGCUGAGGCGUGAAAGCGUGGGGAGCAAACAGGAUUAGAUACCCCGGUAGUCC